UUUUUUCUUCGGAAUUUGUGAUACGAGUAAUAAUUUGAAAUGAAGCGUUUCUUCAUGGUUUUGGAAAGGGGAAAAUUAGAAGGAAAAGCAUUGUUGUUGCAGGGACAAAGAGAGAAGUGAAAAGUGGGAGAAGCUUGUUGAAGAAUCAUGGAUGGAUUGAUGAGAAGUGAAAGAACAUAGGGUCAUGACAAUGAAUAUGAAUAAUCUUACAAACCAACAUUGAAAUUGGGAUUGUGGAGUAUUGAACUGAAUUGUGUGAUUACGAGAAACGUAACGUAAUCAGUGGGAGGAAGAAGAGGCAUGGUGUGAAAAAUGAGAGAAAUUGAAUUGAAUUGAAGAAAGAUUGGACACGUUUUAGUGGGAAUUUCAACCUAGAAUUUUGGCCUUACAAUUUUGACUACGUGGAUUAUCAUUAUGACAUGGGUCUCACAAGAGCUACCACUUUAUGCUUUUUCAAUUUUAGUAUUUGU
This 470-nucleotide long non-coding RNA is filed under the name Lathyrus oleraceus (garden pea). RNAcentral describes it as "Pisum sativum (pea) long non-coding RNA (PSAT_LNC030767)". The record is from RNAcentral. Lineage: Eukaryota; Viridiplantae; Streptophyta; Magnoliopsida; Fabales; Fabaceae.